Molecule: transfer RNA, 66 nt
Filed under: Torleya mikhaili
Lineage: Eukaryota; Metazoa; Arthropoda; Insecta; Ephemeroptera; Ephemerellidae
Description: tRNA-Asp
Source: RNAcentral
AAAAGAUUAGUUAAACUAACAUCAGUAUGUCAUGCUGGAAUUAGAGGUUUAUCCCUCUAUCUUUUG